UUUGCACUUUGUGUUGCAGAAGGCGAGAAAAGAGGAGACAAAAAGCAAUAAAAUUAUGAGAAGACAAGGAGCAUGAUUGGAUUGAAAGUAAGAGAAGAACGGAAGUAAGAAGAAAGGGAGAAGAGGAAAAGAUACGU
This is a non-coding RNA of Caenorhabditis elegans, 137 nucleotides long. NCBI's taxonomy places the organism in Eukaryota, Metazoa, Nematoda, Chromadorea, Rhabditida, Rhabditidae. The record is from Ensembl.